This 97-nucleotide microRNA precursor is filed under the name Loxodonta africana (African savanna elephant). RNAcentral's name for it is "mir-544 microRNA precursor family". It matches the Rfam family "mir-544 microRNA precursor family". The record is from Rfam by way of RNAcentral. Lineage: Eukaryota; Metazoa; Chordata; Mammalia; Proboscidea; Elephantidae.
GGCACCUGGGGAUUUGUUAAAAUGCAGAUUCUGAUUCAGCAGGUCUGAGGUGGGGCCUGAGGGUUUGCAUUUUUAACAAGUUUCCAAGUGAUGCCAG